UACAGAGGGUGCGAGCGUUGUCCGGAAUCACUGGGCGUAAAGGGCGCGUAGGUGGCCUGGUAAGUAGGGGGUGAAAUCUCGUGGCUCAACUGCGAGGCUGCCUCCUAAACUGUCAGGCUCGAGCAGAGUAGAGGCAGGUGGAAUUCCCGGUGUAGCGGUGGAAUGCGUAGAGAUCGGGAAGAACAUCGGUGGCGAAGGCGGCCUGCUGGGCUCUUGCUGACACUGAGGCGCGACAGCGUGGGUAGCAAACAGG
This 253-nucleotide ribosomal RNA is filed under the name uncultured bacterium. RNAcentral describes it as "partial 16S ribosomal RNA". It matches the Rfam family "Bacterial small subunit ribosomal RNA", at positions 524 to 776 of the family's 1533-position model. The record is from RNAcentral.